Molecule: long non-coding RNA, 392 nt
Organism: Lingula anatina
Lineage: Eukaryota; Metazoa; Brachiopoda; Lingulata; Lingulida; Lingulidae
Source: RefSeq, a predicted model, not a curated record
UUGUGAGAGGUGUUCGGGUAGGACAAAGGUCAGAAGGAAAUGGUGCAUAUGGAAGUUUCAUGCCACAUUGCUACAAUUUCCACAUAUUGUCCGAAAAUUUGGCUCUGAAAUACUGCAACAGUCUGUUAGGGAGCGCAUUCGCCUAGAAAGAUGAAAGAAGAAAUGACCUAUUCCAGAGGUCCAAGGUUCAAAACUUUGCCAGUACAACGUAAGAUAAUUGAGCAGUGACUCUUACCUACGGUUCACAAGGAUACUGGAGUCCUCCAUCAAAGACACCAGAUUCAUGUUCGACAUCAUGCGCACCCAAGCCAAGAUUGUCUCGCUUGUCGAAGUUGGUUUUAAUGCAACUAGCAUUUUGUUCAUGGAAUUUUGACAGAAAUAAGGGGAAAAAA